AUUGAACGCUGGCGGCAGGCUUAACACAUGCAAGUCGAGCGGGGUGAUGGUGCUUGCACUAUCACUUAGCGGCGGACGGGUGAGUAAUGCUUAGGAAUCUGCCUAUUAGUGGGGGACAACAUCUCGAAAGGGAUGCUAAUACCGCAUACGUCCUACGGGAGAAAGCAGGGGAUCACUUGUGACCUCGCGCUAAGAGAUGAGCCUAAGUCGGAUUAGCGAGUUGGUGGGGUAAAGGCCUACCAAGGCGACGAUCUGUAGCGGGUCUGAGAGGAUGAUCCGCCACACUGGGACUGAGACACGGCCCAGACUCCUACGGGAGGCAGCAGUGGGGAAUAUUGGACAAUGGGGGGAACCCUGAUCCAGCCAUGCCGCGUGUGUGAAGAAGGCCUUAUGGUUGUAAAGCACUUUAAGCGAGGAGAAGGCUCUUUUGGUUAAUACCCAAGAUGAGUGGACGUUACUCGCAGAAUAAGCACCGGCUAACUCUGUGCCAGCCGCCGCCGUAA
RNAcentral lists this ribosomal RNA (503 nucleotides) under uncultured bacterium. RNAcentral's name for it is "partial 16S ribosomal RNA". It matches the Rfam family "Bacterial small subunit ribosomal RNA", at positions 30 to 523 of the family's 1533-position model. The record is from RNAcentral.